UGACUGUAAACGGUUUUUGAUCAAGCUAGGCUAGACUGACGAUAGAUCAAUAUAUAUCUGAAAGUAUUUGGGGGUUUUUUCAUCCCAGCGUCUCUUUUGCUCCCGAAGACCCCAUUUGCACAGCAGGUGAAAUCAUGGAUGGUUUGCUUAAGGAAAUAAGAAGCAAGGACCAAGCAGCCGCCUCUGUACUGGAACAAAUCAAUUGGUGAGCUCAUAGAAAAAUCCAAGCACUUCAUCCCACAUGACUCUCUCAGGGCUGCCUUAACUGAAAAUGGAGUUUUGGUCGACUACCUGAAAAUGUUGAAGGAAAUGAAGACCCAAAUGAAUAAAGAUUUCCUUGAUCCGCAUAUCAAUCUACUGGAGGACUUCAGGAAAUCUCAACCAUCGCAGGACCAGGACAAAGGUGAAAUCAUGGAUAUUUUGCUUAAGGAAAUAAGACGCAAGGAUGAAGUGGCAGCCAAUAAACUGGAAGAGGAAGGUUUGAGAGCUGACUCAGAUCUCCAGUUACUGACUUUACAAGACCUGGGUUUGCUGUUACCUGGAGUUGAAAAUGUCAAACGGAUAAGGGAAAUCUUUGAUAUAAUACACAAGCAGAAACCAAUUGGUGUGCUCAUAGAAAAAUUCAAGGACUUCAUCCCACAUGAAUCUUUCAGGGCUGCCUUAACUGAAAAUGGAGUUUUGGUUGACUACCUGAAAAUGUUGAAGGAAAUGAAGAUCCAAUUGAAUAAAGUGCAAGAUUUCCUUGAUGCACAUAUCAAUCUACUGGAGGACCUCAGGAAAUCUCAACCAUUGCAGAACCAGGACAAAGGUUCUUCGUCAAGUGGUCCAGUGAAGCGCCACAAUAGCCAAACCAGUGACCCUCCACAAAUGCAACAAGAGGAAAACGUUUUGCAUAAAGAAAAAAGACACAAGGAUGAAAAAGCAGCAGGUUCUUCGUCAAGUAGUGAGAAUAGCCAAACUAGUGACCUUCCAGAAAUACAACAAGCCACACUGAAGUACAAGAUGGUGAUAAGUGGAAAAACCUUUAAUGCCCAUCAACAGAUACUGGAAAAAGUAAAGGCUUUAAAUGAGGAUCCAGAUUUGAAUUUGAUCGAACAGGAAGACAGCAAUCAGGAUUGCCAGGCCAUUAUUGUCUUCUGUCCCAUUGUUUCACGUAUGGGGACAGAUAUUGAUGCAGCCAUGACGCAAGUCAAAGGUUCUCAGCCUGUCAUUCUGGUUUUGAUGCAUCACGCACAUGAACCCAAGCAUGUAACUUUAAUGAAAAUACAGAAUAAUGUUUCUAAUGUUGUGUUACCUUUCCAUGUUUUCUACCAUGAGACAGUGCAUGGAUUGUUGCAGUGUCAGCAAAAUAACGAUGCCAUUUCUGAAAUUCGAAAGGCAUUACUGAAGCACGCAGAUAUCCAGACAAUUAAAGAUACAAGUGGAAAGACACAGAAUGUAGCUGCUAAAAGUAGUAAUCGUGGUGGGAGUUUUAUUUUUCGUUUUUGGUAAAUAAUGAUAGUGUAAAUUCAGAUAUUACAAGUCAAAGAAACUGUAUAUAUAUCCCAUGCAUUACUCUUUUGUAAUCUAAUUUUUUUUGCGCUGUAUCACUUCAGUAGUGUAGAUUGCUCUGACCAUUUGAGUAGGAAGCGAAAAUUUUAUGGUUUUGAUCAUGCAAAAUAAUUAUUUUGUACAUUGUGAAACAAAAGGACAGCACAGAAUCGUCUUUGUGACCUUUAUUUCAGUACUUUAAGAUAUUUCAGCUGUAAGGGUAGUUGCAGAGUCAACAGGUGUGAUCAUGAAGUGUCAAAGAAGAGGUCAGAGACACAGUAUAUGGGUGUAGAUAGUCAUAAAACUACUUUCAACUGUACCAACUGCUGUUUAUCUCUAAAAACAAAAGUGACAGCUACAGCUGUAUGUACACAGUGACAUCGUAAGUCCUUUGAUCAUUAAGAUAAAUAAUAAAUAUAUUUAUAUCAAAGUCAAACAUAUUGUGAUUAGUUUCACGGUUGCUAUGUAAAUCUGCAAGUUAUUUUCAUCUUUCAGAAAAAAAAAAUCAAGCCAAUGUUUAAAAUUGUGAAUAAAAAUGUAAAAAAACAUCUGUUGUCUUCUUUUUCUUUUUUCCUUUUUUUUUUUUUUUUUUUUUAAAUUGAGGGGUCCUGAACAGUUCAAAACACCAGUGUAUUUACAGUAUAAUUUAACCUAGUUCAGCUAAUAUUUCUGCUGUUAUUUUCUAUAUUCUUGACUUUUAUUCACUCUAAGAAAGACUAAAGAGUGCAAAGACCACAUAUUCAAUGAUAAGCCACUUUAUACAUGUUUACAUUAUAUUCAUAGAAAAUGAAAAAUUGUGUGUGACAAACUUUUUUUUUCUUUUUUCUUUUCUUUUCUUUUUUUUCUUUCCCUUUUUUUUCUUUUUGGCUGGUGUAAAGUUUGUCAUCUAAAUAAAAUGCCCUUUGUCUCCGGUUCUGUUCAUAAUUUUUAUGGACAGGAUUUCUAGGCGCAGCCAAGUGGCGGAGGGCUUUCGCUUUGGUGGCCUCAGAAUCUCAUCUCUGAUUUUUGCAGAUGAUGUGGUUCUGUUGGCUUCAUCG
Molecule: long non-coding RNA, 2567 nt
Organism: Astatotilapia calliptera (eastern happy)
Lineage: Eukaryota; Metazoa; Chordata; Actinopteri; Cichliformes; Cichlidae
Source: Ensembl